This 359-nucleotide ribosomal RNA is filed under the name uncultured bacterium. RNAcentral's name for it is "bacterial SSU rRNA". It matches the Rfam family "Bacterial small subunit ribosomal RNA", at positions 28 to 384 of the family's 1533-position model. The record is from RNAcentral.
GAUGAACGCUAGCGGCAGGCCUAACACAUGCAAGUCGAGGGGUAACAGGUGUAGCAAUACAUGCUGACGACCGGCGCACGGGUGAGUAACGCGUAUGCAACCUACCUUUAACAGGAGAAUAGCCCCGAGAAAUCGGGAUUAAUACUCCAUAUCAUUUAUGAAUCGCAUGGUUUAUAAAUAAAAGUUCCGACGGUUAAAGAUGGGCAUGCGUGACAUUAGCUAGUUGGUGAGGUAACGGCCCACCAAGGCUACGAUGUCUAGGGGUUCUGAGAGGAUUAUCCCCCACACUGGUACUGAGACACGGACCAGACUCCUACGGGAGGCAGCAGUGAGGAAUAUUGGUCAAUGGUCGCAAGACU